This 451-nucleotide ribosomal RNA is filed under the name uncultured bacterium. RNAcentral describes it as "partial 16S ribosomal RNA". It matches the Rfam family "Bacterial small subunit ribosomal RNA", at positions 29 to 523 of the family's 1533-position model. The record is from RNAcentral.
AACGAACGCUGGCGGCAUGCCUAACACAUGCAAGUCGAACGAGGCCCUUCGGGGUUUAGUGGCGCACGGGUGCGUAACGCGUGGGAAUCUGCCCUUAGGUUCGGAAUAACAGCUGGAAACGGCUGCUAAUACCGGAUGAUAUCGCGAGAUCAAAGAUUUAUCGCCUGAGGAUGAGCCCGCGUUGGAUUAGGUAGUUGGUGGGGUAAAGGCCUACCAAGCCGACGAUCCAUAGCUGGUCUGAGAGGAUGAUCAGCCACACUGGGACUGAGACACGGCCCAGACGCCCACGGGAGGCAGCAGUGGGGAAUAUUGGACAAUGGGCGCAAGCCUGAUCCAGCAAUGCCGCGUGAGUGAUGAAGGCCCUAGGGUUGUAAAGCUCUUUUACCCGGGAAGAUAAUGACUGUACCGGGAGAAUAAGCCCCGGCUAACUCCGUGCCAGCAGCCGCAGUAA